This 249-nucleotide ribosomal RNA is filed under the name Triticum aestivum (bread wheat). RNAcentral's name for it is "partial small subunit ribosomal RNA". The record is from RNAcentral. Lineage: Eukaryota; Viridiplantae; Streptophyta; Magnoliopsida; Poales; Poaceae.
AUGUCCACGAACAGGCUGUUUGGGCUCUGGGGAAUGUUGCUGGUGACUCUCCAAAGUGUCGUGACCUUGUGCUUGGAAGUGGUGGUAUGUUCCCUUUGUUGCAGCAGCUCAAUGAGCAUGCCAAGCUCUCAAUGCUCAGGAAUGCCACAUGGACACUCUCCAACUUCUGCCGUGGGAAACCACAGCCAAACUUUCAACAAUCAAACCGGCUCUCUCAGCACUGCAGCGCCUUAUCCACUCUCAGGAUGA